AGAGAAACAAGUUGCUGCCAGGCUAGUGGCAGUAGGGAAAUAAGCUUCUCCAGGGUGAGGGGCUGUGUUCCUCCCCAUAGGGGAAACAGCCAAACCUGAGUGCCUGCUAAGUAAGGACUGAGAGCCCAGGGAAAACCAACAGGGCAACACCCUGCCCCAGUGAGGAGGCAGCAAAAGGUACCUUACUGGGGUUUUAGUUUAUGAGACUGUUCCUUUUUUGUUUGGUGAAGGAUCACCCCUUAGGCCGACUGUCAGGGCUACCCUGAAAGUAUGGCCAAGGGAACACCGAAGGGGAAAGGCAAACCCUGCACAGAGAGGAGCUGAUUAACCCCAGGCUCACCAUUGCCAGAGGGGAAAGCACUAAGGUCUGGUGAGACAAAGGAGGUGACUUGCCACAAUAUGUCAAAAGAAUAGUGUGACAAUUCAAUAAAACUUUCAAAGAACAGACCUGAGCAGAGAACUCCAGCAUCGUCACCGUGUCCACAGUUAUGCCGACCCCAUCCACCAGAGGAACAGUCCCGGAGAUAGGAUUCGCCUCCAGAGCAAUUCACAUCAUCCAGCCAGAUCUGCCCUGAUCCUUCCCCAUAAUGAGCUGAGCCAGGUGCAUUAAGGGCGCGUCCACAUCCCAACUCUUGGCAAACGACAUUGGCAUCUGAUGUGUCCCAGGAAUCAUCACAGACUGUGCCCCAGGCUCCACGCUAAUCAGCUUCAAUAGAGAAUGAACAGACCUGAGCAGAGAACUCCAGCAUCUUCACCGUGCCCACAGUUAUGCUGACCCCAUCCUCUGGAGGAACAGUCCCGAAGAUAGGAUUCGCUUCCAGAGCAACUCACA
Molecule: long non-coding RNA, 832 nt
Organism: Chelonia mydas (Green sea turtle)
Lineage: Eukaryota; Metazoa; Chordata; Testudines; Cheloniidae
Exons: 3
Source: RefSeq, a predicted model, not a curated record